UUUCGAUACAGGAGCAGAUAAAAACAAGGUAGAAUCUGUUGUAAAUCUGGUUGGCAGGUAAGUUUAUUUCUACCGUCUUCUCUAUCUAGGCUUUACUUACUGUCUGUCUUGUGUUAUCUGUCCAUCAUCAAUAAACAAUUAAGUUUGGUUGUGUGCAUUGUAAGCCGUUAAAAGGUUUGGAUAGAUCAUUAAAAGGUUUUAGUUGAUUGAGAUUGAGAUUUUAUUGAUUUGGAUGAUCAUUGAAAGGGUGUUCAUGAUUUUGUUUUUGCAUUACGAGACAAGUCUUGCAGUAGAAUCUCAGCCAAAACAGGUAAGGACCUUGAACUCAGUUUUGAUUAUAAGCAGCAGGAUAUGUGUAAUUUUAAACUCUAAGGUCAUUCUCUGUUAGUUGGUUUAUUCUUUUGUGCUUACCAUCUUCUCUGAUUUAGAUUUGUUCAAUUUUUUUUGGCUUCUAAUGCAGUUUUUGUUACAUCUUUUGGAUUGGCUGGGUUAUAGUUUGAAAAAGGGUGAGAGCAGUUGUCAGUUUCUGAUCAUCUGUGGAGGAAUUUGGUUUGUAGUUUUCAAUCGAUUUGAUUUGCAGAGGGAGCUAGAUUCGUCAGUUUUGUUCUGCUGGAGAAGAAGACAAAUUUGGGUUGUGCAUAUUGAAGGGAGAGAGGUUUGAAGUGGAAGCAAAGAAAAGAGGUUUGGUUGUUAACUUUAUUCAUCUUUGUCGUUGUUUUAUAUAUUGUAUCGGUUACGGAUGUUGGGUUUAUGAGAUUACACUUGAUCAGAAUAAAUUGUUAAUCUGUUCAACUUAAAUCAGUUUGGGUUUUCCUAUUUUUUUUAUUACUUCCAUGGUUGUUGCUUAUGCUUUGAAAAGGCAGGAAAGAAAUGUGUAUGGAUUUGGGGACUGAAUCAAAUUAGGAUUUGUUAAGCAUUUGGGUUUAAAUUUGGAUUUGUUUAGCAUUUGAAUUUGUUUAUGGAUCAGUUUGAUUUCUGAGUAGAUCUUGCAGUUUUGUUUUCUUUUGUUGUGCAUUUUCAGCUGCAAAUAUGCUACAUUAGUUGAUUACUUCAGUGGACUUAUUGUCCAUUGUUUUGUAGUACAUUUUCUCCAGUGCAGUUUUGUUUUCCAUCAAAAAGAAAAAAAAUAUAUGUCCCAUCUUUGGUGUAUGGUUAUGGCAAUUGUAUAUCAGACUUCUUUGACUAUAAUUUUCAACUCAAAUCACAAACAAAUUCCUCCUCAUUUUGAAAAGUUGCUGUGCCCAUCUUCGUUUCUCCUGUUGACGUUAGCUCCACUACUGUCAUUCCCCUCUAACCGUAGGCUCAGAGAGGCAGAGUGUUACACAAGAGUAUUUGAGUUUUUUUUAACUCUCUGAUACAUAAAGAAUCUGCCUCAUUACCUUUCCAUUUCCUUUUGACGUUCAAAGGGUGCCCAAAGAUCCAUUUUCAUUUUAGCAUUUUGUUUUAACAUUCCUUUUAUUUUCCCUUAUUUAUCUUGAAUUACUUUUUACCAAUGCCUCAAGUCCAUCUUAUUACUGGUAAUGAAUGCUCCUGCAAUUUUGGGUUGUUCUUGUACAUCUUAUGUACUUAUAAACUGUUUUUUCUAGUUCUGUUAUUAUUGCUUUCUUUUUCUCGUUUUUAUAAUUAACUCACCGUAAUGCAUAUAGCAUCCUUACAACCCAAAUGAGGAGUAUGCAGAUGUGGAAUCCACAUUGCGUUCGCAUUUGGAAUCUUUUCUAGAAACUACAAGAUCAUUCAAUAUGAUUUACACCAAGGAAAUACGUCCCUGGACACACAUGAUGGAGGUACCCCAGCUCCAUGGGUUCGGGCCUGCAGCCAAUCGCUUAUUGGAGGCAUAUAAGAUGCUUUUGAAGAAACCUGUCGAGGAUAAUGUUGAGAAUAAGAAGAAAAGGAAAGAGAUAGGGGAGGAGAGGUAGCAGCCAAUACACCCAAGCAGAUACUGAUCAAGUGCGAAAUGAGUGGGAGAAGUUUGUUGUCAACACAUAUGUGCAUGAGCCGUGAAGUAGCGUGCUUGUUGCUGGUCCAUUUUUGCUAAGGAAAGCAUCUUUCUUUGUGCUUCUCUGCUGGUACAUUGUCAUGCACCAUGUGUUGCAUGUUUUGGAACAAUGGAUAUAUAUGUAUCAACUUUUUGAUGUCCCAAGUAGAUGGGCAUGCACUAGAAUGUUUUUCUUGUGU
Molecule: long non-coding RNA, 2175 nt
Organism: Rosa rugosa (rugosa rose)
Lineage: Eukaryota; Viridiplantae; Streptophyta; Magnoliopsida; Rosales; Rosaceae
Exons: 4
Source: RefSeq, a predicted model, not a curated record